RNAcentral lists this transfer RNA (74 nucleotides) under Ipomoea nil (Japanese morning glory). It matches the Rfam family "tRNA". From Rfam's summary of the family: Transfer RNA (tRNA) molecules are approximately 80 nucleotides in length. Lineage: Eukaryota; Viridiplantae; Streptophyta; Magnoliopsida; Solanales; Convolvulaceae. The record is from Rfam by way of RNAcentral.
GCUGGAAUAGCUCAGUUGGCUAGAGUAUUUAGAUGUUAACCACAAGGUCGGAGGUUCAAGCCCUCCUUCUAGCG